GUAAGGAUAAGAUCAUAUUGUAUACUUUGUUAGUUAUCUAAUAUAUAUAUAAAUAUACAUAUAUGUAUAUUGUAUUCAUAAAUAUAAAAGAAUAUUGAUAAUUAAGCUCUAGUUUUCAAAAGUAUCUUUUCAUACUAAUAUGAUUUGUAAGAAAUUAGUGGCAGACUUAAACAUCCUGAAAAAUCAUGUAAAUAAUGUUUUAUUGUACUAGAACAACAAAAAAGCAACAUUAAAUUUAUUUGAUUCUCACUUUUUCUGCCUUUAGUUCUUGGAAGAGCUGGACAAUGAAAAAAAUAAUCUACUGCAUUUUAAAUAGUGAAAUGGACACAGACAAACAUGAUGGUUUAGAAUGGCCUUCAAGCUCACUCUCAGACAUCUUUCCCAUAACUGGACUGUACUACUGUUAAAAAUAGCUAUGAUGAAUUGAAAUGACUCUGUACUACUACCUCCUCUUUCUGUGGUUAGUCUUCACAGUUCUAUCACGGAAUACUAAUGCCGUGUAUAAGGACAUGUUCACCAUAACUCUGGCUAGAAGAUCAGAAAUAGGACUUGGGAGACUUUUGCCUCCACUGUUACCUCUGUGGAAACAGUGUGAUCACUAUGCUAUCACAAAUCAAACCAGCCGAUAUUUUCCCUAGGAAGAAUGAUUUGAAGAGCAAAUGUUGCCCUAACAGUGGACCACCUCAUCUGACCCCAGGCCCUAUUGCUUUAUGCAGGGAUGGAGAGCAGAAAGCCAGAAGCUCUCAAAAUGAAGAAAGAUGAGUCUGCUGCCAGUGCUAUGCCAUCCUGGAAAGUAUGGGAAGACUUUGGUAGCCAAUGAUGAAAAAAGGAACAGGGGCAAGCUAGACUGCUCUUGCAGUUGCAGCGUAGUAUGCCCAGGCUACUCAGAUCUAACUGAGAUGUGUUCUGUAUAACGGUGGCUGUCACAAUGGUGAUUCUUGUCAGUGUGGUGAUAUCAUAUACAAUUGUUUGCAGUGAAUAAAGAAACAUUCAGC
Long non-coding RNA from Coturnix japonica (Japanese quail), 995 nucleotides. The record is from Ensembl. NCBI's taxonomy places the organism in Eukaryota, Metazoa, Chordata, Aves, Galliformes, Phasianidae.